AUGGUCGACCCGGAGCUCGUGGCGCUCGACCAGGCCGGCUCCGCGCUCCCCACCCGCGGCAACAACGAGUUCAAGCCCUUCAUCCGCCGCCUCCCCGAGUUCAAGUUCUAUCUCGGUGUUGUAUGCAUGGUUCAGAAGUUCAGAUGGGAUUCUACAAUCAGUAUUUACCAGGGUGGUGCGUCGAAGACCUUGUGA
Molecule: ribosomal RNA, 195 nt
Filed under: Triticum aestivum (bread wheat)
Lineage: Eukaryota; Viridiplantae; Streptophyta; Magnoliopsida; Poales; Poaceae
Description: partial small subunit ribosomal RNA
Source: RNAcentral